Molecule: long non-coding RNA, 2296 nt
Organism: Numida meleagris (helmeted guineafowl)
Lineage: Eukaryota; Metazoa; Chordata; Aves; Galliformes; Numididae
Exons: 2
Source: RefSeq, a predicted model, not a curated record
ACCAUCUAUGAAAUAAUGUGUUCUGUAAUAAUCUAAAAAAAUCACUAUUUGUGUUUUUCUCUUUGAAGGGAGUCUUUUGUGCUGUGUUGCCAAGCCUGAAAUGUUCCACUCUGUGUCAUGUUGGUGGGAAUAUGAAGGCCAGAUACUGGCAGCUGGUGUCUGCUCAGUGCCUGCAGAUGAGGAGUAAAUGAUGUUCCUAGGCAUGCUGCAAGACAGGUUUGAUGUUUUGUUUAGCAGCCUGCUGUGCCUUUGGACCUGAGAUUUCUGAGGCGCUUCUCUAUCCAUGCUUACCAUCAUUCCAAUUGUUUGUAACAUUGUUUAUUUAGUCUUAACAUACAAGAUGUUCCUUUGUUCUUAGCAGUUGAUGUAUAGUUCAAAAGACUUUUAGUUGUUUUUCUUUUUUUUUAUUUGGUAUUUUUUCCUGUUACAUUUUUACCCUUGAAGCAUACAGAUCUCCACAACCUGAGUAAGAAUCAUAGCUGAAGGAGAAAGAAAAAAGCUGCACAUACAUACAUAAGUUUUAAGCAAGAAUACAUUCAUGUGUCUCAUCAGUAGCAGUAAGGAGCAAAAGGCCUUGGGUACUGAAAUCAUGAUUCCACAGUUACUUCCAUCCAGAAUAAAUGUAAAUGCUUAUGAAAGCAGUGAGCCCUCACCCUUUCUUUUCACUCUUGCUAUGCAGUCUUGUAAUCUGCCUUUUGCAUCCUUGGCAGAGGUGCAGCCCUGCAGCAAGCUGAACACCUUUCAGUCAUGCAGGUGAAAUUGCAAUAAAGGUUUAACCAAGGUCUGACACCAGCUUAGAUGUCAUGUAAAUCAUUGAUAGUUUUGCUUAACAGAAAAUUAGGCAAAUCAUUCUUUAUGCAGGAGGAAUUCACAAACCUCUCUUUUUAACUUCAUCUGGGCUUUUCCUCCCUCUAAUUUCCGUUGCAUCCUGCUAUGUCCAAUACAGUACUCCUGAUGGGACCACUGCCAGUUUUUAAAGCACUAAAAUAAAGUAUCUGUAACUUUUUGGGUCAGGACUGAACAACCAUAAUCCAAGCAUAAGCCAUUAAUGAUACUGUGGUUUCCCACAUAUUUUGCUGUUUGAUCCCUAGUGUGCUUAGUAAAUUAGUGUAACUAACAAGGGGAGAAAGAGCUGUAUAUCACAGAGCCAACCCUCCCAGGGCUGGUGCACAGCUGCUCUUCAUACUAUGCCUCAUGAGAGCUACAUCAUACUGCAACAUGAUGCAGCUAAUAGAAUCAACAAGAGCAACCAUCAGGAAUCUUCAAAUCAUUAGCUGUGGCACAUUUAAUAGUUCCUUCAACAUCUCUGUUCAUUCUUCUCACACUAGCUAUUAAGCUAUCAUUUAUUUUAUGGGUGUAGUGCCUCCAGACAUGUGCAAGCAACAGUUCCAUUCGUGUUUUGUUCAGCGGAGACCAGAUGAUGAGUAUACGACUAUCAUAAAAUACCUUGUAAAUUCAGGGAAACCUGUGCAGCAGCUUCAUUAAUCUCAUUUUAUUUCUAAAUGUGCACUGAUGAGAUUCAGCUGAAAUUAUCUGUCUUCAAGAAUGAACUCUGGUAAAUGAAUGAAAGAGGGCCAGGCUAGGGACUGCUUUCUUCAAUUUAUAUGUGGAAAAACAAAGCAAGGCAUCUUUUCAUCUGCUCAGCAAAACAGUGGAGAUUGGGCAGUUUAUACCUGCUGAAAAUCCAGGAUCAUACCUUUAUUUGUCAUGAAAAUUAUAGUCUUUUAUACUGACCUUUGCUUUCUCUUCAGUCUGCAUUUUUGUCUAUACUGCAGUCCCCAUGUCUGUUCUGCAGAACCCCAUUUUCUUCUCUGACACUGCACUAGGUCUAUAAUAGCCUACAAAGACUUCCUCAUUGUCUCUUCACCAUAUAUUUCCUAAUUUUUUUUUUCUCCACCGCUGUCUAUCAUAAUAUUCUGCAAUUAAAUUAUUUGAAACAGUAUAGGCCUAAUAAACUCUGUUGGACUGCUUUUUGUAAUGAAUAUGAUGUUACGGUGUCAAAUCUGCAGGAUCAAGCUUUGCAUUUAACUGCGAAAGACUUUCAGACUUUGGAUGAAAUUCAGCCCUGUAUUUCAAUUCAUCUUCAGGCAGAGUAUAACUGUUCGCAAGAACUAAUGGUUUUGUGUGAUAUGCUGUAUCAUACUUAUUUCCCAUAGCAACAAAUUUCUGUGUCUGCUAUGAAUAACUGAUCUCUGUUAUAGAACAACAACAUUAUUUAAUGUAUCAGAGAUUUCUAUGUAUCUGUCAAGACAUUGUGCAACUUAAGCACCAAAUAAAUAUUUUAAUAAUAAUUUCA